AUGAACACACCAUCACAGACCUCUACAACUCCACAGUGUUACACUACCCAGGACAGGACUACUACUCCACAGUGUCACACUACCCAGGACAGACCUCUCCUACUCCACAGUGUUACACUUCACAGGACAGGACUCUCCUACUCCACAGUGUUACACUCCACAGGACAGACUAUCCUACUCCACAGUGUUACACUCCACAGGACAGGACUCUCCUACUCCACAGUGUUACACUCCACAGGACAGACCUCUCCUACUCCACAGUGUUACACUCCACAGGACAGGACUCUCCUACUCCACAGUGUUACACUCCACAGGACAGGACUCUCCUACUCCACAGUGUUACACUCCACAGGACAGACCUCUCCUACUCCACAGUGUUACACUCCACAGGACAGACCUCUCCUACUCCACAGUGUUACACUCCACAGGACAGGACUCUCCUACUCCACAGUGUUACACUCCACAGGACAGGACUCUCCUACUCCACAGUGUUACACUCCACAGGACAGACCUCUCCUACUCCACAGUGUUACACUCCACAGGACAGACCUCUUCAUUCUGUCCACUGGUAGAGAGCAGCAGAGUCCUCUGGGGUUUGGAACAGAAUAUUGUUGUUGUUGUUGCCCCGUCUGAGGAUGUGGAAGAGGAGGGGUUUAUAGUGACCAUCACUGUUUCUACCAUAAGACACAGAACUACUGGAUAUUCAACCAAGAGGAAAGAGACAGAUCCAUUAAUGUGGAAGAGGAGACCAUCACUGUUUCUACCAUAAGACACAGAACUACUGGAUAUUCAACCAAGAGGAAAGAGACAGAUCCAUUAAUGUGGAAGAGGAGACCAUCACUGUUUCUACCAUAAGACACAGAACUACUGGAUAUUCAACCAAGAGGAAAGAGACAGAUCCAUUCCUGCAACAAUCCCGAGACGUACAAGAACACGUUAUCAAGGGGAACUUCUGUCACCUGUAAUCAUUGUUUUGGAGAAGAGAGGAGAUUUGACGCCAUCUUGACAACACUCAUCAUCUAGUGAAAACCAGGGGAAACACACCAGGCCCAGUUGCAAGCAAAGUUCUUGAACAGAACUGUU
RNAcentral lists this long non-coding RNA (1083 nucleotides) under Oncorhynchus mykiss (rainbow trout). RNAcentral describes it as "lncRNA (ENSOMYG00000072422.1)". Lineage: Eukaryota; Metazoa; Chordata; Actinopteri; Salmoniformes; Salmonidae. The record is from RNAcentral.